GGACCCGCACAAGUAGUGGAGCAUGUGGUUUAAUUCGAAGAUACGCGCAGAACCUUACCAACACUUGACAUGUUCGUCGCGACUUUAAGAGAUUAAAGUUUUCGGUUCGGCCGGACGAAACACAGGUGCUGCAUGGCUGUCGUCAGCUCGUGUCGUGAGAUGUUGGGUUAAGUCCCGCAACGAGCGCAACCCUCACUUUUAGUUGCCAUCAUUUAGUUGGGCACUCUGAAAGAACUGCCAGUGAUAAGCUGGAGGAAGGUGGGGAUGACGUCAAGUCCUCAUGGCCCUUACGUGUUGGGCUACACACGUGCUACAAUGGCACUUACAAUAGGAAGCAAGACGGCGACGUUAAGCAAAUCCUAAAAAAGUGCCUCAGUUCGGAUUGUACUCUGCAACUCGAGUGCAUGAAGCUGGAAUUGCUAGUAAUCGC
RNAcentral lists this ribosomal RNA (430 nucleotides) under uncultured bacterium. RNAcentral describes it as "bacterial SSU rRNA". It matches the Rfam family "Bacterial small subunit ribosomal RNA", at positions 917 to 1345 of the family's 1533-position model. The record is from RNAcentral.